CAAUGGGCGAAGCCUGAUCCAGCCAUGCCGCGUGUGUGAAGAAGGUCUUCGGAUUGUAAAGCACUUUAAGUUGGGAGGAAGGGCAGUAAAUUAAUACUUUGCUGUUUUGACGUUACCGACAGAAUAAGCACCGGCUAACUCUGUGCCAGCAGCCGCGGUAAUA
Molecule: ribosomal RNA, 163 nt
Filed under: uncultured bacterium
Lineage: Bacteria
Description: partial 16S ribosomal RNA
Rfam family: Bacterial small subunit ribosomal RNA
Source: RNAcentral